This 790-nucleotide ribosomal RNA is filed under the name Bacillus subtilis. Its description in RNAcentral is "bacterial SSU rRNA". It matches the Rfam family "Bacterial small subunit ribosomal RNA", at positions 121 to 899 of the family's 1533-position model. Lineage: Bacteria; Bacillati; Bacillota; Bacilli; Caryophanales; Bacillaceae. The record is from RNAcentral.
GUAACCUGCCUGUAAGACUGGGAUAACUCCGGGAAACCGGGGCUAAUACCGGAUGGUUGUUUGAACCGCAUGGUUCAAACAUAAAAGGUGGCUUCGGCUACCACUUACAGAUGGACCCGCGGCGCAUUAGCUAGUUGGUGAGGUAACGGCUCACCAAGGCAACGAUGCGUAGCCGACCUGAGAGGGUGAUCGGCCACACUGGGACUGAGACACGGCCCAGACUCCUACGGGAGGCAGCAGUAGGGAAUCUUCCGCAAUGGACGAAAGUCUGACGGAGCAACGCCGCGUGAGUGAUGAAGGUUUUCGGAUCGGCUCUGUUGUUAGGGAAGAACAAGUACCGUUCGAAUAGGGCGGUACCUUGACGGUACCUAACCAGAAAGCCACGGCUAACUACGUGCCAGCAGCCGCGGUAAUACGUAGGUGGCAAGCGUUGUCCGGAAUUAUUGGGCGUAAAGGGCUCGCAGGCGGUUUCUUAAGUCUGAUGUGAAAGCCCCCGGCUCAACCGGGGAGGGUCAUUGGAAACUGGGGAACUUGAGUGCAGAAGAGGAGAGUGGAAUUCCACGUGUAGCGGUGAAAUGCGUAGAGAUGUGGAGGAACACCAGUGGCGAAGGCGACUCUCUGGUCUGUAACUGACGCUGAGGAGCGAAAGCGUGGGGAGCGAACAGGAUUAGAUACCCUGGUAGUCCACGCCGUAAACGAUGAGUGCUAAGUGUUAGGGGGUUUCCGCCCCUUAGUGCUGCAGCUAACGCAUUAAGCACUCCGCCUGGGGAGUACGGUCGCAAGACUGAAA